CCUACGGGUGGCAGCAGUGGGGAAUAUUGGGCAAUGGAGGCAACUCUGACCCAGCAACGUCGCGUGAGUGAUGAAGGUCUUCGGAUUGUAAAGUUCUUUUUUAAGGGAAGAAGAAAUUGACGGUACCUUAGGAAUAAGCAUCGGCUAACUACGGGCCAGCAGCCGAGGUAAUACGUAGGAGGCAAGCGUUACCCGGAAGGAAUGGGCGUAAAGGGUGCGUAGGUGGUUUGACAAGUUCGUAGCGCAACUCCCGAGCUCAACUUCGGAACUACUACUAAAACUGGUGGACUUGAGUGCAUGAGAGGCAAUCGGAAUUCCUGGUGUAGCGGUGGAAUGCGUAGAUAUUAGGAGGAACACCAGUUGCGAAGGCGGAUUGCUAGAGUGUAACUGACACUGAGGCACGAAAGCGUGGGGAUCAAACAGGAUUAGAUACCCUAGUAGUC
RNAcentral lists this ribosomal RNA (443 nucleotides) under uncultured bacterium. Its description in RNAcentral is "partial 16S ribosomal RNA". It matches the Rfam family "Bacterial small subunit ribosomal RNA", at positions 338 to 795 of the family's 1533-position model. The record is from RNAcentral.